GAUGAACGCUAGCGGCAGGCCUAACACAUGCAAGUCGAGGGGUAGCAGGAUUAAGCUUGCUUAAUUGCUGACGACCGGCGCACGGGUGCGUAACGCGUAUGCAACCUACCUUAUACUGGGGUAUAGCCCGGAGAAAUUCGGAUUAAUCCCCCAUAGUACUAAUGAAUCGCAUGGUUUAUUAGUUAAAGCAUUGCGGUAUAAGAUGGGCAUGCGUCCUAUUAGCUAGAUGGGUAGGUAACGGCUCACCAUGGCUACGAUAGGUAGGGGGGCUGAGACAGUGGACCCCCACCGUGGUACUUAGACACGGACCAGACUCCUACGGGAGGCAGCAGUGAGGAAUAUUGGUCAAUGGGCGCAAGCCUGAACCAGCCAUGCCGCGUGCAGGAAGAAUGCCCUAUGGGUUGUAAACUGCUUUUAUUUGGGAAUAAACCUCUUUACGUGUAGAGAGCUGAAGGUACCAAAUGAAUAAGCACCGGCUAACUCCGUGCCAGCCGCCGCCGUAA
Molecule: ribosomal RNA, 503 nt
Filed under: uncultured bacterium
Lineage: Bacteria
Description: partial 16S ribosomal RNA
Rfam family: Bacterial small subunit ribosomal RNA
Source: RNAcentral